GGCCGACUGGCGAAAUGGCAUCGCGUCUGACUACGAUAUUGUAAUCAGGAGAUUGCAGGUUCGACCCCUGCGUCGGUCA
Molecule: transfer RNA, 79 nt
Filed under: Gelatoporia subvermispora B
Lineage: Eukaryota; Fungi; Basidiomycota; Agaricomycetes; Polyporales; Gelatoporiaceae
Rfam family: tRNA
About the family: Transfer RNA (tRNA) molecules are approximately 80 nucleotides in length.
Source: Rfam by way of RNAcentral